ACUGAACCCGGAACCAUGUGGUUGGUUAGCAAGCUACUUACCACACAGGUCUUUCAAGCAAGUAUCACAUGAAAUAUCUGCUGUACAUUUAACCCCUCAUGCUUGUGUAGCUCUAAACUUAACAGUCAAUGGCCAUUGACUUAAGUACCAGUCUAUAACUUGUAUUCUCUUCAAUGUCUGUGAUUACAUCCAGGACCAUUGUUUACAAGAAGCAAAUUGGCUUGCUGCCACUUAAAUGUGGUACCUUAACAGGAAAUUGAUAUAUAUCUUCCUGUAUAAUAUAUAUAAUAUAUAUAUAUAAUUAUAUAUAAUAUAUAUAUAUAUAUAUAUAUACGUUAUUAACAAACCAGCAUUAAAUAAAAAGGGAAAACCUAAAAAUCUGCCCAUUUUAAUUUUAUUUCUAUUGUUCUUUUAAAUUAGAAUAUUCUAUCCCAAGUUUUAAAAACAAAAUUGAGUUUGAGCCAAUGAAAGAAAGCUUCUGUGUUGUCAUUUGACCUGAUCCUAGUUUCCAAAGCGCUUAAACACUUAUAUUGAACGUAAAAGCUGAGCUUCCCAGUUUAAACUCUAUACUAAUUUAUGAUAACAACCACAUGUUUCAAGUUUGUAAAUCUUAGAACGACUCAUCCAUCCAUAAGGAGAGUUUGAUCUCAUUUAGAAUGCUCACUAGAAAAUGAAAUUUAGCUCAAAGCAGUCUUCUUUACAACUUGCAUAAGACAAGAUGUUUACAUGAAUUACUGGGUGGCAAAUGUUGCUGGUAAGGUAUCAGGCAAAGUUGUUUGGGUGUUAAGCUCAUAAUCAUAAAGUUGUGUGCAUGAUUCCUGAGCCAGGUGGCAAGAUACGUUAAUUUAUUUUGUUCCAUUUCAGUCAGGUGGAAAUUUGUACCUGCAGCUGGGAUGCAGUUAACCCAUUAGUGGACUGGCAUCCUAUUCAGUGAGAGGUUUUGUACUCUGUGUUGCUUAAGGAUAAGCUCUGGUUUAUUGAACCUAUAGAUUGGCUUAGAGACAUCAUCAUUAUCAUGAUCAUUUUAAUGUUCACUUUUCCAUGCUUGCAUGGGUCAGAUAGAAUUCAUUGGGACAGAUUUUGUAGGGCUGAAUACUCUUACUGUUGUCAACCCUUACCUGUUUCUCAAGUAAAGCAUUUUUCCUCACUGGCUGGACAUGUUUCCACAGAAAUUUAUAAAUGAAUAACAUCACUUGUAAAGGUAAUGUUCCUUUAUAACUUUUGCACAGUGUUGAAACAAGGAGAUAGAAACACAAACGCACAUGUUUCUGUUUGCUAAAUUCAGUUUCUCUCCACCAAAUCCACUAACAAGGCUUUAGUAACCCCAGACUGUAGUAAAAGACCUUACCUGAAGUCCCUCACAGUGGGCUCGAACUUGAAACCCUGUGUUUAGGAAACAAACUUUUUAACCACACAACCAUAUUGUUUGCACCUAUAAAAAUAUUCAAAAAUAAUACUUGGGUUGGCUGACCAAAGCAAAUGGUAAGGUACCAUUUGUAGUGACAGAAAAUGGUGAGCUCUGAAAUGAGAAUAUAUUUCAGAUUCUAACACUUUCUACUUUGCUGUGACCACCACCCAUAGUCUGCUGGUGAACAGAAAUAAAUUGAACUGUGGAGAGAGUACAAUGUGUAGUGUCUAACACACUACAUCCUUGCUAUAUGGUUAGCCAUUGUAUGUCGGAUUGAAGGUGGCGAGCUGGCAGAAACGUUAGCACGCUGGGUGAAAUACUUAGUAGUAUUUCAUCUGUCUGAGUUCUGAGUUCAAAUUCCGCCGAGGUCAACCAUGCCUUUCAUCUUUUCAAGGUCAAUAAAUUAAGUACCAAUUGCAUACUGAGGUAAAUCUAAUCAACUGACCCCCUCCCCUCAAAUUUCGGGCCUUGUGCCUAGAGUAGAAAAGAUUAUAUGUCAGAUUGUAAAAAAAAAAAAAAGUAAAGUUACCUUCUCGAGUUAUGUUGAUUCAUACAGUUUGGUUUCCAUGGCAUUUAAAUUCCCAACUUGCCUGGGAUGCCGGUCUGUUGAAGGAUUACUUGUUUUUACCAGCUGAGUGAACUGGAACAAGCAUGAAAUGAAGUGUUUUGCUCAAGAACACAACAGGUCACCCAGUCCAAGAAUCGAAACCACAAUCUUACAAUCAUGUGUCCAACACCUUCACCACUAAGCCAUGUGCCUCCACAAAGUAAAGGUUACCUUCUCAAAUCAUACCGACUCAUAAGGGCUGAUUUCCAUGGUGUAUAAAUUUCCCACCUGGACAGGAUGCUGGUCUGUUAGAGGAUUACUCAUUUUUGUCAGCUGAGUGGACUGGAGCGACAUGAAAUGAAGUGUUGACUGAUCCAGGAAUUGAAACCACAAUCUUAUGAUCAUGCAUCCAACACCUUAAUCACUAAAUCACUGCCUCCUCUGUCAGAUUGUACACUAUGGUUAUUAGCUAGACAGAUCUGGAACAAUAAAUAUCCAGAUUUCGAGCGAGGUCAUUGCCAGUGCCACUGGAAUGGCUCCUGUGCAGGUGGCACAUAAAAAGCACCAUUUGAGCGUGGCCAUUGGCAGUACCGCCUGACUGGCCCUCAUGCCGGUGGCACAUAGAAGCACCCACUACACUCUUGGAAUGGUUGGCGUUAGGAAGGGCAUCCAGCUGUAGAAACUCUGCCAGAUCAAGACUGGAGCCUGGUGCAGCCAUCUGGUUCGCCAGUCCUCAGUCAAAUUAUCCAACCCAUGCCAGCAUGGAAAGCAGACGUUAAACGAUGAUGAUGAUGAUUUCAACUAGUUGUUUCAUCAGUGGUUCUUAACCUGCAUAGUAGCUCCCCCCUUGGUGGAAGUGCUAUGCAAAGCACUAGGUAUUUAAAAGGGCUGUGAAUUUUCUUAAAAAUAAAUAUUCAAACCAGGUAUGAUGCAAUAUCCUACCACUAGGCACGUGGCCUAGUGAUGAGAGUGUUGUACUCACAAUCACUAGAUCUUGGGUUCGAUUCCUAUGCCUGGCAGCACAUUGUGCUCUUGAGCGAAACACUUCAUUUCAUGUUGCUCCAGUCCACUCAGCUGUAAAUAGGUAACCCUGUGACACCGAGCCUACUGAUCAGGCUGGAUGUUGGCCUGCCCACCCAACGAGCAGGGUGCAUUAUUUGAAAGCUGAAAGGAUGUAAAGUGCAUUGUGACCAGCAAUGUGUAACAACAACAUCUGGUAGGCUGCUUGAUCACACAAUCACAUAAGACCACUUAUAUAUUUUAAGCACGUUUUCAAACAUUCUUUAUCAGGAUUAAUACAUAAAUAGAAAUUUGUGUUGUAUUGGACAGAAACAUGACUGAUAAUGUACCAAGGUCUCGUAUAAUAUAAUUACAUAAUUUCUUGCUUUCGUUAGUAAUUUUCACAGAAAUUUAGCUGAAAGGGCAUAAAGCUCAUGCAAAUAUCUAAAAAGCAGAAUAUGGUGUUACGGGACAGUAUAAGAAAAUAUAGAUAACCAACCACUGCUGAAAAUUAGCUUCCAUUUGUUCAAAAAUGUCCUAUUUAUUUACUUAUUUUGCAAAACACAAGGGGUCAUUUAGUGAAAGGGGAGCACUGAGGCUACGUAGCAACAGGUAAAUAAUUAAUAUAAAUGUGGCGCAUACUAAUAUAAUGACUCAGUCUCAAACAGUUGAUGGUAGUAUUACCACCACCUAUAAUAAUAAUA
This 3658-nucleotide long non-coding RNA is filed under the name Octopus vulgaris (common octopus). Lineage: Eukaryota; Metazoa; Mollusca; Cephalopoda; Octopoda; Octopodidae. The record is from RNAcentral.